AGAAUCAACGCUGGCGGCGUGCCUAACACAUGCAAGUCGAACGAGAAAGUGGAGCAAUUCACAAGUAAAGUGGCGCACGGGUGAGUAACACGUGACUAACCUACCCUUGAGUGGGGGAUAACCUAGGGAAACCUGGGCUAAUACCGCAUAAUACCUACGGGUCAAAGGAGCAAUUCGCUUAAGGAGGGGGUCGAGGCCGAUUAGUUAGUUGGCGGGGUAAUGGCCCACCAAGACGAUGAUCGGUAU
Molecule: ribosomal RNA, 246 nt
Filed under: uncultured bacterium
Lineage: Bacteria
Description: partial small subunit ribosomal RNA
Rfam family: Bacterial small subunit ribosomal RNA
Source: RNAcentral